UCUUAUAUGGCAGANUAAUG
This 20-nucleotide transfer RNA is filed under the name Zabrus guildensis. RNAcentral's name for it is "partial tRNA-Leu". The record is from RNAcentral. Lineage: Eukaryota; Metazoa; Arthropoda; Insecta; Coleoptera; Carabidae.